AUUGAACGCUGGCGGCAGGCCUAACACAUGCAAGUCGAGCGGCAGCGGAAAGUAGCUUGCUACUUUGCCGGCGAGCGGCGGACGGGUGAGUAAUGUCUGGGAAACUGCCUGAUGGAGGGGGAUAACUACUGGAAACGGUAGCUAAUACCGCAUAACGUCGCAAGACCAAAGAGGGGGACCUUCGGGCCUCUUGCCAUCAGAUGUGCCCAGAUGGGAUUAGCUAGUAGGUGGGGUAACGGCUCACCUAGGCGACGAUCCCUAGCUGGUCUGAGAGGAUGACCAGCCACACUGGAACUGAGACACGGUCCAGACUCCUACGGGAGUCAGCAGUGGGGAAUAUUGCACAAUGGGCGCAAGCCUGAUGCAGCCAUGCCGCGUGUAUGAAGAAGGCCUUCGGGUUGUAAAGUAUUUUCAGCGGGGAGGAAGGUGUUGAGGUUAAUAACCUCAGCAAUUGACGUUACCCGCAGAAGAAGCACCGGCUAACUCCGUGCCAGCCGCCGCAGUAA
RNAcentral lists this ribosomal RNA (506 nucleotides) under uncultured bacterium. RNAcentral describes it as "partial 16S ribosomal RNA". It matches the Rfam family "Bacterial small subunit ribosomal RNA", at positions 30 to 523 of the family's 1533-position model. The record is from RNAcentral.